UGGCGGCGUGCUUAACACAUGCAAGUCGAACGAAGCAUUUGCGACAGAUUUCUUCGGGAUGAAGUUGCUUAUGACUGAGUGGCGGACGGGUGAGUAACGCGUGGGUAACCUGCCUUGUACUGGGGGAUAGCAGCUGGAAACGGCUGGUAAUACCGCAUAAGCGCACAAUGUUGCAUGACAUGGUGUGAAAAACUCCGGUGGUAUAAGAUGGACCCGCGUCUGAUUAGCUAGUUGGUGAGAUAACAGCCCACCAAGGCGACGAUCAGUAGCCGACCUGAGAGGGUGACCGGCCACAUUGGGACUGAGACACGGCCCAGACUCCUACGGGAGGCAGCAGUGGGGAAUAUUGCACAAUGGAGGAAACUCUGAUGCAGCGACGCCGCGUGAGUGAAGAAGUAAUUCGUUAUGUAAAGCUCUAUCAGCAGGGAAGAUAGUGACGGUACCUGACUAAGAAGCUCCGGCUAAAUACGUGCCAGCAGCCGCGGUAAUACGUAUGGAGCAAGCGUUAUCCGGAUUUACUGGGUGUAAAGGGAGUGUAGGUGGCCAUGCAAGUCAGAAGUGAAAAUCCGGGGCUCAACCCCGGAACUGCUUUUGAAACUGUAAGGCUAGAGCGCAGGAGGGGUGAGUGGAAUUCCUAGUGUAGCGGUGAAAUGCGUAGAUAUUAGGAGGAACACCAGUGGCGAAGGCGGCUCACUGGACUGUAACUGACACUGAGGCUCGAAAGCGUGGGGAGCAAACAGGAUUAGAUACCCUGGUAGUCCACGCCGUAAACGAU
This 775-nucleotide ribosomal RNA is filed under the name uncultured bacterium. Its description in RNAcentral is "bacterial SSU rRNA". It matches the Rfam family "Bacterial small subunit ribosomal RNA", at positions 37 to 810 of the family's 1533-position model. The record is from RNAcentral.